AGUGAACGCUGGCGGCAGGCCUAACACAUGCAAGUCGAACGGCAGCACAGGAGAGCUUGCUCUCUGGGUGGCGAGUGGCGGACGGGUGAGGAAUACAUCGGAAUCUACUCUGUCGUGGGGGAUAACGUAGGGAAACUUACGCUAAUACCGCAUACGACCUACGGGUGAAGGCAGGGGACCUUCGGGCCUUGCGCGAUUGAAUGAGCCGAUGUCGGAUUAGCUAGUUGGCGGGGUAAAGGCCCACCAAGGUGACGAUCCGUAGCUGGUCUGAGAGGAUGAUCAGCCACACUGGAACUGAGACACGGUCCAGACUCCUACGGGAGGCAGCAGUGGGGAAUAUUGGACAAUGGGCGCAAGCCUGAUCCAGCCAUACCGCGUGGGUGAAGAAGGCCUUCGGGUUGUAAAGCCCUUUUGUUGGGAAAGAAAUCCAGCUGGCUAAUACCCGGUUGGGAUGACGGUACCCAAAGAAUAAGCACCGGCUAACUUCGUGCCAGCCGCCGCGGUAA
Molecule: ribosomal RNA, 506 nt
Filed under: uncultured bacterium
Lineage: Bacteria
Description: partial 16S ribosomal RNA
Rfam family: Bacterial small subunit ribosomal RNA
Source: RNAcentral